UGCAUGCUGUCUCCCCCCUUUUAGUCUAAUAAUUGGCUUUUACUCUAACUAUACCCAAUAAACUAGAUGCAAUAUGAAAACUCUCAGGCAAGAAAUACAUUCACAACUUCUAGUCUGUACCUGCACCUGAGACUGCAGAUCCAGAUACUCCCCUCCUCCAUCUCAUAGCUCUGCUUGCCUCCAGGAGGCCUACUCUAAUCCCCCACAGAUGACGUGUCUGCCCCAGUCUACCUGCCUACCGGGUUGCCACCAAGCCCAGCAGCAGUGGGCUCUGCCCCAUUCUUUCAGAACCCCAAAUUGCUUCCUGUCCACACUCCAUCUCCUGUCAUGGAUUGGCACGCUGCUCUCCACCUUGCAGCUCUGCCUGCCUCCCAGGAGGCUUUAUCUAACCCAAACACAAAGCUUCAGUACAUCCCAGGAGUCCUGCCCCAACUCGACACAUCCAGUCCAGCCAACACCAGAAACAACCAGAUGGUGAAAGGCAAGCAAAAGAACAUAAUUAAAAGAAGCUAAUCCAAGAUGCUUCCAGAACCCAGCUCUC
Molecule: long non-coding RNA, 541 nt
Filed under: Rattus norvegicus (Norway rat)
Lineage: Eukaryota; Metazoa; Chordata; Mammalia; Rodentia; Muridae
Description: long non-coding RNA NONRATT013767
Source: RNAcentral